AGGGAUACGCCCAGAAGUAAAUUUGAUUAAUACCUCAUAGUAUAGUACUUUGGCAUCAAGGAACUAUUAAAGUCACAACGGCAAAAAGAUGAGCACGCGUCCCAUUAGCUAGUUGGUAAGGUAACGGCUUACCAAGGCUACGAUGGGUAGGGGUUCUGAGAGGGAGAUCCCCCACACUGGUACUGAGACACGGACCAGACUCCUACGGGAGGCAGCAGUGAGGAAUAUUGGACAAUGGGCGCAAGCCUGAUCCAGCCAUGCCGCGUGCAGGAUGACGGUCCUAUGGAUUGUAAACUGCUUUUAUACAGGAAGAAACACUCCGACGUGUCGGAGCUUGACGGUACUGUAAGAAUAAGGAUCGGCUAACUCCGUG
Molecule: ribosomal RNA, 373 nt
Filed under: uncultured bacterium
Lineage: Bacteria
Description: bacterial SSU rRNA
Rfam family: Bacterial small subunit ribosomal RNA
Source: RNAcentral